GGACGAACGCUGGCGGCGUGCUUAACACAUGCAAGUCGAACGAAGAGCGACGGAAGCUUGCUUCUAUCAAUCUUAGUGGCGAACGGGUGAGUAACGCGUAAUCAACCUGCCCUUCAGAGGGGGACAACAGUUGGAAACGACUGCUAAUACCGCAUACGAUCUAAUCUCGGCAUCGAGGAUGGAUGAAAGGUGGCCUCUACAUGUAAGCUAUCACUGAAGGAGGGGAUUGCGUCUGAUUAGCUAGUUGGAGGGGUAACGGCCCACCAAGGCGAUGAUCAGUAGCCGGUCUGAGAGGAUGAACGGCCACAUUGGGACUGAGACACGGCCCAGACUCCUACGGGAGGCAGCAGUGGGGAAUCUUCCGCAAUGGACGAAAGUCUGACGGAGCAACGCCGCGAGAGUGAUGACGGCCUUCGGGUUGUAAAGCUCUGUUAAUCGGGACGAAAGGCCUUCUUGCGAAUAGUGAGAAGGAUUGACGGUACCGGAAUAGAAAGCCACGGCUAACUACGUG
RNAcentral lists this ribosomal RNA (511 nucleotides) under uncultured bacterium. RNAcentral describes it as "partial 16S ribosomal RNA". It matches the Rfam family "Bacterial small subunit ribosomal RNA", at positions 27 to 507 of the family's 1533-position model. The record is from RNAcentral.